RNAcentral lists this ribosomal RNA (946 nucleotides) under Ecytonucleospora hepatopenaei. RNAcentral's name for it is "SSU rRNA". It matches the Rfam family "Microsporidia small subunit ribosomal RNA", at positions 238 to 1191 of the family's 1311-position model. Lineage: Eukaryota; Fungi; Microsporidia; Enterocytozoonidae. The record is from RNAcentral.
GAUUCCGGAGAGGGAGCCUGAGAGAUGGCUCCCACGUCCAAGGAUGGCAGCAGGCGCGAAAAUUGUCCACUCUUUUGAGAGGAGACAGUUAUGAAACGUGAGUAGAAGGGUCGAGUGUAAAAACCUUGACGUGAAGCAAUUGGAGGGCAAGUUUUGGUGCCAGCAGCCGCGGUAAUUCCAACUCCAAGAGUGUCUAUGGUGGAUGCUGCAGUUAAAGGGUCCGUAGUCGUAGAUGCAAUUAAAAGGUGGUGUUAAAAGCCAUUGAGUUUGUUGAGAGUAGCGGAACGGAUAGGGAGCAUGGUAUAGGUGGGCAAAGAAUGAAAUCUCAAGACCCCACCUGGACCAACGGAGGCGAAAGCGAUGCUCUUAGACGUAUCUGGGGAUCAAGGACGAAGGCUAGAGUAUCGAAAGUGAUUAGACACCGCUGUAGUUCUAGCAGUAAACUAUGCCGACAAUGCUGGGUGUUGCGAGAGCGAUGCUUGGUGUGGGAGAAAUCUUAGUUUUCGGGCUCUGGGGAUAGUACGCUCGCAAGGGUGAAACUUAAAGCGAAAUUGACGGAAGGACACUACCAGGAGUGGAUUGUGCUGCUUAAUUUAACUCAACGCGGGAAAACUUACCAGGGUCAAGUCUAUCGUAGAUUGGAGACAUGAGGUAGACAAGAGUGGUGCAUGGCCGUUGGAAAUUGAUGGGGCGACUUUUAGCUUAAGUGCUGGAACCAGUGAGAUCUUCUAGACAGGUGUUAUUUAGGCACAGGAGGGAGAAGGCAAUAACAGGUCCGUGAUGCCCUUAGAUAUCCUGGGCAGCAAGCGCAAUACAAUAUCUCUUGAGAAGACAAAGCAAUUUGAGAUGAGUAGGAUUAGCUUUUGUAAAUAAGCUAUGAAUGAGGAAUUCCUAGUAACAGUGUCUCAUCAAGGCAUUGUGAAUGUGUCCCUGUUCUUUGUACACA